UACGAAGGUCCCAAGCGUUGUUCGGAAUCACUGGGCGUAAAGGGAGCGUAGGCGGCGCGGUAAGUCAGAUGUGAAAUCCCGGGGCUCAACCCCGGAACUGCAUCCGAUACUGCCGUGCUUGAGGGUUGGAGAGGUAGCUGGAAUUAUCGGUGUAGCAGUGAAAUGCGUGGAUAUCGAUAGGAACACUCGUGGCGAAGGCGAGCUACUGGACAACAUCUGACGCUGAGGCUCGAAAGCGUGGGGAGCAAAC
Molecule: ribosomal RNA, 250 nt
Filed under: uncultured bacterium
Lineage: Bacteria
Description: partial 16S ribosomal RNA
Rfam family: Bacterial small subunit ribosomal RNA
Source: RNAcentral